This 314-nucleotide unclassified non-coding RNA is filed under the name plant metagenome. Its description in RNAcentral is "partial contains 5.8S ribosomal RNA and internal transcribed spacer 2". The stretch from base 1 to 105 matches the Rfam family "5.8S ribosomal RNA", at positions 50 to 154 of the family's 154-position model. The record is from RNAcentral.
GAAACGCGAUAGUUAAUGUAAAUUGCAAAAUUUAGUAAAUCAUCAAGUCUUUAAACGCACAUUGCGCUCAUUAGUAUUCCUUUGGGCAUAUCUGUUUAAGCGUCAUUACAACCUUCAGCUAACCGCUGUUUUUGAACCUAAACGAAUAACACCGCACCAGUUUUAAAGUUGUAAGCUCUGUUGGCUACUCUACCCAACCAAAACAUAGUAAGCAUUAUUUGUUCGGGUAAAGCUGAACAAUACGGCCUGAAUAAAAUUUACCCACUCUUAAGGUUUGACCUUAGAUCAGACAAGGAUAUUUGCUAAACUUAAGC